This 73-nucleotide transfer RNA is filed under the name Paramuricea clavata. It matches the Rfam family "tRNA". From Rfam's summary of the family: Transfer RNA (tRNA) molecules are approximately 80 nucleotides in length. Their secondary structure includes four short double-helical elements and three loops (D, anti-codon, and T loops). Further hydrogen bonds mediate the characteristic L-shaped molecular structure. tRNAs have two regions of fundamental functional importance: the anti-codon, which is responsible for specific mRNA codon recognition, and the 3' end, to which the tRNAs corresponding amino acid is attached (by aminoacyl-tRNA synthetases). tRNAs cope with the degeneracy of the genetic code in two manners: having more than one tRNA (with a specific anti-codon) for a particular amino acid; and 'wobble' base-pairing, i.e. permitting non-standard base-pairing at the 3rd anti-codon position. Lineage: Eukaryota; Metazoa; Cnidaria; Anthozoa; Malacalcyonacea; Plexauridae. The record is from Rfam by way of RNAcentral.
GACCGCGUAGCUCAGUUGUAAGAGCAUUGGGCUAGUAUUCCAAAGGUCGUAGGUUCGAAUCCCACCGUGGCCG